This 296-nucleotide ribosomal RNA is filed under the name Salmonella enterica subsp. enterica serovar Paratyphi B var. L(+) tartrate +. RNAcentral's name for it is "partial 23S ribosomal RNA". It matches the Rfam family "Bacterial large subunit ribosomal RNA", at positions 2652 to 2925 of the family's 2925-position model. Lineage: Bacteria; Pseudomonadati; Pseudomonadota; Gammaproteobacteria; Enterobacterales; Enterobacteriaceae. The record is from RNAcentral.
CGUUUGAGAUUUGAGAGGGGCUGCUCCUAGUACGAGAGGACCGGAGUGGACGAACCUCUGGUGUUCCGGUUGUCACGCCAGUGGCAUUGCCGGGUAGCUAUGUUCGGAAAAGAUAACCGCUGAAAGCAUCUAAGCGGGAAACUUGCCUCAAGAUGAGAUCUCACUGGGAUCUUGAAUCCCCUAAAGGGCCGUCGAAGACUACGACGUUGAUAGGUUGGGUGUGUAAGCGCUGUGAGGCGUUGAGCUAACCAAUACUAAUUGCCCGUGAGGCUUGACCAUAUAACACCCAAGCAAUU